RNAcentral lists this long non-coding RNA (561 nucleotides) under Ananas comosus (pineapple). Its description in RNAcentral is "long non-coding RNA (ACOM_LNC004039)". The record is from RNAcentral. Lineage: Eukaryota; Viridiplantae; Streptophyta; Magnoliopsida; Poales; Bromeliaceae.
AUAUAUAUAUAUAUAUAUAUUGAAUGUCAAAUACAUUGUUUCUAUAAAAUUUAAUUUUUAUAUAUUUUUUCUAUAAAAGUUCUGAUAUUUUAAAAUAUGUCAUGCCGUUAGAAUUUGUUAAAAAAAUUUAGUCAACCAUAGGUUAAAUAUUUAAUUCUGGUUAAUUUUUAAUAUUUUUAUCCCUAUAUUAUAGGGUUAUGAUUUUUGAAGGGACAUAUUUGCCAUGACAAAAUUGAAAAUAUGAAUAUUUCUCUAAUAGUUCUUUAAUGGUAACAAAUAGAGAGACAUAUUUGAAAGUAUCAGAACUUUUAUAGGUAUAACAUAUAAAAAUUAAAUUUUAUAGAAAUAUAUUUAUCAUUACUAUAUUUAUAGGGACCUAUAUGAAAUUAACUCUAAUGAUAAAAUCAGACUGUAUGUUAAAAAUAUAUAAAAUUUUAAAAUUUAUUUUCUAAGCAUCAAAUAGACUAAAAAUUUUAUAAUAAAGAAAAAAAACUACUGCCCAGUUUCUAAAAAUAUAUAUUUAAAAUUUAAGAUUUUUAAAUCUACAGUACUUUGAAUAUU